CGAUGAGGGGCGGAAUCCCUAUGAUGUCCGGACUAGAGUUGGAUAUCAAAUGGAGCACGCCCCACUUAGAGACAGAGUCUCGAGAGAGCUCCUCAGGAGUGUGAAUGAAAUGGGGCAUGCCCUCCAAGCUCCGAGGGGUGGUGAGGACACGGAGAACACACUCCGCAAUGUUUUAGAGAAAGUUCGUCAAAGGUGCCGGAAACUUGCAGCAAGAUUAGGUUACAGGUCGG
Oryza sativa Japonica Group (Japanese rice) is the source of this 230-nucleotide non-coding RNA. Lineage: Eukaryota; Viridiplantae; Streptophyta; Magnoliopsida; Poales; Poaceae. The record is from RefSeq and is a predicted model, not a curated record.